GAUCAUGGCUCAGGACGAACGCUGGCGGCGUGCUUAACACAUGCAAGUCGAAUGAGAAUCUACUGAAAGAGUUUUCGGACAAUGGAAGUAGAGGAAAGUGGCGGACGGGUGAGUAACGCGUGAGGAACCUGCCUUGAAGAGGGGGACAACAGUUGGAAACGACUGCUAAUACCGCACGAAGCAUAGGGGUCGCAUGAUUCUUAUGCCAAAGAUUUAUCGCUUCAAGAUGGCCUCGCG
Molecule: ribosomal RNA, 237 nt
Filed under: uncultured bacterium
Lineage: Bacteria
Description: partial 16S ribosomal RNA
Rfam family: Bacterial small subunit ribosomal RNA
Source: RNAcentral